GACCGGGUGAAAGGGACACCAGCGGGCUGGACAGGCCCAAGGAAACAACAAAACAAAUCCCCUUCCAAUAAAGACAUCCCACGCCGGACUCGCUCGGGUCCUGCUGCAAAAGUUGCUGAUCACCCACAUUUCACACAUUGAAACUUUGCUCUUUAGGCUGAGUGCUAUCCAUUUUAGUCGCAGUUAAAAAUCACAGUCAGCUAGUUUUUCCCUCCACUUUUCGAAGGGGGAGGUAGUGAAGCCAGACUAGUCUUAGUAAAUUUGAUGAAAACGACAGGGAUACAAAGUAAAAGCCAGGCAGCCUCCCCCCGGGGAAGGAAGUCAGCAAGCUCCUUUGCAACACACUCUCUGGUUCACAGGGUUCCAGUUUGAUCAGCUUUCCAUGGCUUGCUGGCAAUCUGCGUCUCUGUUUCGCCACAAGGUUACAAAGGCCCCCAUAUGAUCAGUUACAGUAUUAUAUCACCAAACAACUUCAAUAUCGCCCCAUGUUGGGCGGAAAGCCAUGGCCGUCUUUGUAGCCCUGCAGAAGAGCCCUUUGAUAGGAACAAGGGCAGGAAUUGUGGCAUGUAUCAUGUGAGCUGAGCUGAGUGACCUCCUCUGUUGGUGCAAUCUACAUCUGACCCUAGACCAUGAGUGUUCGGCAUUUCUCGACUGUCCACUGACCAGCAACAACCUUCCAGAUCACUGAAAAUGUCAGGCGGGUGGACCACCGGUCCUCUGUUAUCAUGACUGAUGGCAUGGCAUCAUUUUAAAUAAGUGCUGUUUGUUCCUGAAUAAAGUAGAUUGUUGAAAAAAAAAAGUUAUUCAUUCUGUUGCAAUGUAAAAAUAUUCUGUGU
Molecule: long non-coding RNA, 836 nt
Organism: Carassius gibelio (silver crucian carp)
Lineage: Eukaryota; Metazoa; Chordata; Actinopteri; Cypriniformes; Cyprinidae
Exons: 4
Source: RefSeq, a predicted model, not a curated record